GGGCAUAUGGUGUAGUGGUAUCACGCCUCAUUUGCAUAUGUAUGCGUCUUGAGGCGGCCCAGGGUUCGAUCCCCUGUGUGUCCA
Ceratobasidium sp. AG-I is the source of this 84-nucleotide non-coding RNA. The record is from the annotation of a GenBank genome assembly. NCBI's taxonomy places the organism in Eukaryota, Fungi, Basidiomycota, Agaricomycetes, Cantharellales, Ceratobasidiaceae.